UUUUUGAACGAGUGGCGGACGGGUGAGUAACACGUGGGUAACCUGCCCUUAAGUGGGGGAUAACAUUUGGAAACAGAUGCUAAUACCGCAUAAAUCCAAGAACCGCAUGGUUCUUGGCUGAAAGAUGGCGUAAGCUAUCGCUUUUGGAUGGACCCGCGGCGUAUUAGCUAGUUGGUGAGGUAACGGCUCACCAAGGCAAUGAUACGUAGCCGAACUGAGAGGUUGAUCGGCCACAUUGGGACUGAGACACGGCCCAAACUCCUACGGGAGGCAGCAGUAGGGAAUCUUCCACAAUGGACGCAAGUCUGAUGGAGCAACGCCGCGUGAGUGAAGAAGGCUUUCGGGUCGUAAAACUCUGUUGUUGGAGAAGAAUGGUCGGCAGAGUAACUGUUGUCGGAGUGACGGUAUCCAACCAGAAAGCCACGGCUAACUACGUGCCAGCAGCCGCGGUAAUACGUAGGUGGCAAGCGUUAUCCGGAUUUAUUGGGCGUAAAGCGAGCGCAGGCGGUUUUUUAAGUCUGAUGUGAAAGCCCUCGGCUUAACCGAGGAAGUGCAUCGGAAACUGGGAAACUUGAGUGCAGAAGAGGACAGUGGAACUCCAUGUGUAGCGGUGAAAUGCGUAGAUAUAUGGAAGAACACCAGUGGCGAAGGCGGCUGUCUGGUCUGUAACUGACGCUGAGGCUCGAAAGCAUGGGUAGCGAACAGGAUUAGAUACCCUGGUAGUCCAUGCCGUAAACGAUGAAUGCUAGGUGUUGGAGGGUUUCCGCCCUUUCAGUGCCGCAGCUAACGC
Molecule: ribosomal RNA, 790 nt
Filed under: Lactobacillus delbrueckii
Lineage: Bacteria; Bacillati; Bacillota; Bacilli; Lactobacillales; Lactobacillaceae
Description: bacterial SSU rRNA
Rfam family: Bacterial small subunit ribosomal RNA
Source: RNAcentral